UCCGGUUUGACACCGGCAGUCUCGUUAGAGUCCUCAGCAUUACCUGUUAGCAACUAACGACAAGGGUUGCGCUCGUUAAGGGACUUAACCCGACACUUCACAGCACGAGCUGACGACAGCCAUGCAGCACCUGUGCUUGUUCCACUCUUGCGAGUGUGGCUCCUCUUUCAAGGAGUUAAUCCAAGCAUGUCAAACCCAGGUAAGGUUCUUCGCGUUGCUUCGAAUUGAACCACAUCAUCCACCGCUUGUGCGGGCCCCCGUCAAUUCCUUUGAGUUUUAACCUUGCGGCCGUAGUCCCCAGGCGGAGCACUUAGUGCGUUAGCGUCGGCACCGCGGGGGUCAAUACCCACGACACCUAGUGCUCAUCGUUUACAGCGUGGACUAC
RNAcentral lists this unclassified non-coding RNA (385 nucleotides) under uncultured bacterium. RNAcentral's name for it is "contains 16S-23S intergenic spacer region". The record is from RNAcentral.